CUGGGGGAUAACACUUAGAAAUAGGUGCUAAUACCGCAUAAGCGCACAGCUUCGCAUGAAGCAGUGUGAAAAACUGAGGUGGUAUACGAUGGUUCCGCGUCUGAUUAGCUAGUUGGUGGGGUAAAAGCCUACCAAGGCGACGAUCAGUAGCCGGCCUGAGAGGGUGAACGGCCACAUUGGGACUGAGACACGGCCCAAACUCCUACGGGAGGCAGCAGUGGGGAAUAUUGCACAAUGGGGGAAACCCUGAUGCAGCGACGCCGCGUGAGUGAAGAAGUAUUUCGGUAUGUAAAGCUCUAUCAGCAGGGAAGAAAUACUGACCAUAGGGUCAGCAGACGGUACUUGACUAAGAAGCCCCGGCUAACUACGUGCCAGCAGCCGCGGUAAUACGUAGGGGGCAAGCGUUAUCCGGAUUUACUGGGUGUAAAGGGAGCGUAGACGGCAGCGCAAGUCUGAAGUGAAAUGCCAGGGCUUAACCCUGGAACUGCUUUGGAAACUGUGCAGCUAGAGUGCAGGAGAGGUAAGUGGAAUUUCUAGUGUAGCGGUGAAAUGCGUAGAUAUUAGGAGGAACACCAGUGGCGAAGGCGGCUUACUGGACUGUAACUGACGUUGAGGCUCGAAAGCGUGGGGAGCAAACAGGAUUAGAUACCCUGGUAGUCCACGCUGAAACGAUGAUUACUAGGUGUUGGGGGACCAAGGUUCUUCGGUGCCGUCG
This 715-nucleotide ribosomal RNA is filed under the name uncultured bacterium. RNAcentral describes it as "bacterial SSU rRNA". It matches the Rfam family "Bacterial small subunit ribosomal RNA", at positions 136 to 851 of the family's 1533-position model. The record is from RNAcentral.